UACGGAGGCGGCCAGCGUUAUCCGGAAUCACUGGGCUUAAAGCGUGCGUAGGCGGCUUGGCAAGUCUGGUGUUAAAGCCCGUUGCUCAACUCGGGAGCUGCGCUUGAGACUGUCAAGCUUGAGUAGGGAUGGGGCAGCGGGAAUGUUGGGUGUAGCGGUGAAAUGCGUAGAUAUCCGGUAGAACACCGGUUGCGAAAGCGCGCAGCUGGGCCUUUACUGACGCUGAGGCACGAAAGCGAGGGGAGCAAACGGG
Molecule: ribosomal RNA, 253 nt
Filed under: uncultured bacterium
Lineage: Bacteria
Description: partial 16S ribosomal RNA
Rfam family: Bacterial small subunit ribosomal RNA
Source: RNAcentral